GAGCUGGGCAUCCAAGAAGAAGCAGCCUCAUUUGUUUUCUGGUGUCAUCGUAGGUGGCCACCUAUGGCUUUUGGGCUUCUCACCUGGGGCGGGUGGGUUCUGCACCACCCUCCCACCCUCCUUCCUCCGUGUGGACGAUAGAGCCACAUCCAGCACCACGGACAGCUCCCGGGCGAUCCCAUGGGAGUAGAAGAGGUGUGAGCAGGUUGCCCAGCUGGUUAGCGGAAAUGCCAAGAUCCAGGCUCCUGAAUUUCAGCCUGGCCCUUUCUAUCUGUCUGAUACCUCCUUUACGAGUCUCUCUGCCUGCGUUGUGUGGAGCGGGCCUGCUGCUGGUUGGGGGAGUUUGCAGGUUGCCCCUAUGCAAAAAAGGACAGGAUGCAUGACUGGCAUGUAAGGUGUUCAGGAAAACCAGGAAAAGACCAAAAAGAAGAAUGUACUUCAUCUGGUUGGGCUGGAUUCCCUCUGAUAAGCCUUCCCAGUUGACUGAAAGAUGAGGCUAGGCUCUAGCAAGUUGAAGUCAAACCAGCUCCUUCAAGAAGCUUUGAGCAGAAUGAAGUGGGGAGGACCCAGCUUCCAGCCCAGGAAGCCCACUGUACCUGGAGCCAUCUGGGAUAAGACUUUGACCCAUGACUCCCAUAUCCACAGCCUGUCCAUCCUAGCCCAUCCCAGUUUAUCCUGUAUCAUUUGAGCUGGGAUUCCCACAUCCUCUGAGUUGGAAGUCCCAUCUCAAGUCUUCAAUAAAGACUCUUGAAUAUUGAAUCACA
This 764-nucleotide long non-coding RNA is filed under the name Homo sapiens (human). Its description in RNAcentral is "non-protein coding lnc-C1orf61-2:15". Lineage: Eukaryota; Metazoa; Chordata; Mammalia; Primates; Hominidae. The record is from RNAcentral.